CCUACGGGUGGCAGCAGUGGGGAAUAUUGCACAAUGGGCGCAAGCCUGAUGCAGCCAUGCCGCGUGUAUGAAGAAGGCCUUCGGGUUGUAAAGUACUUUCAGCGGGGCAGAAGGGAGUAAUGCUAAUACCCUUGCUCAUUGACGUUACCCGCAGAAGAAGCACUGGCUCACUCCGUGCCAGCAGCCGAGUUAAUACGGAGGGUGCAAGCGUUAAUCGGAAUUACUGGGCGUAAAGCGCACGCAGGCGGGUUGUUAAGGCAGAUGUGAAAUCCCCGGGCUCAACCUGGGAACUGCAUCUGAUACUGGCAAGCUUGAGUCUCGUAGAGGGGAGUAGAAUUCCAGGUGUAGCGGUGAAAUGCGUAGAGAUCAGGAGGAACACCGGUGGCGAAGGCGGCCCCCUGGACGAAGACUGACGCUGAGGUGCGAAAGCGUGGGGAGCAAACAGGAUUAGAUACCCCUGUAGUC
RNAcentral lists this ribosomal RNA (465 nucleotides) under uncultured bacterium. Its description in RNAcentral is "partial 16S ribosomal RNA". It matches the Rfam family "Bacterial small subunit ribosomal RNA", at positions 338 to 795 of the family's 1533-position model. The record is from RNAcentral.